GCCCAGACUCCUACGGGAGGCAGCAGUGAGGAAUAUUGGUCAAUGGCCGCAGGGCUGAACCAGCCAAGUCGCGUGAGGGAUGACGGUCCUAUGGAUUGUAAACCUCUUUUGUCAGGGAGCAAAGGGCGCCACGUGUGGCGUUUUGCGAGUACCUGAAGAAUAAGCAUCGGCUAACUCCGUGCCAGCAGCCGCGGUAAUACGGAGGAUGCGAGCGUUAUCCGGAUUUAUUGGGUUUAAAGGGUGCGUAGGCGGAUUUUUAAGUCAGCGGUCAAAUCGUGGGGCUCAACCCCAUCCAGCCGUUGAAACUGGGGAUCUAGAGUGUGCGAGAGGUAUGCGGAAUGCGCGGUGUAGCGGUGAAAUGCUUAGAUAUCGCGCAGAACCCCGAUUGCGAAGGCAGCGUACCGGCUCCACACUGACGCUGAGGCACGAAAGCGUGGGUAUCGAACAGGAUUAGAUACCCUUGUA
Molecule: ribosomal RNA, 465 nt
Filed under: uncultured bacterium
Lineage: Bacteria
Description: bacterial SSU rRNA
Rfam family: Bacterial small subunit ribosomal RNA
Source: RNAcentral